Molecule: ribosomal RNA, 431 nt
Filed under: uncultured bacterium
Lineage: Bacteria
Description: partial 16S ribosomal RNA
Rfam family: Bacterial small subunit ribosomal RNA
Source: RNAcentral
AACGAACGCUGGCGGCAGGCUUAACACAUGCGAGUCGAGCGCCCCGCCAGGGGAGCGGCAGACGGGUGAGUAACGCGUGGGAACGUACCUUUUGGUUCGGAACAACUCCGGGAAACUGGAGCUAAUACCGGAUAAGCCCUAACGGGGAAAGAUUUAUCGCCGAAAGAUCGGCCCGCGUCUGAUUAGCUAGUUGGUGAGGUAACGGCUCACCAAGGCGACGAUCAGUAGCUGGUCUGAGAGGAUGAUCAGCCACACUGAGACUGAGACACGGCCCAGACUCCUACGGGAGGCAGCAGUGGGGAAUAUUGGACAAUGGGCGCAAGCCUGAUCCAGCCAUGCCGCGUGAGUGAUGAAGGCCUUAGGGUUGUAAAGCUCUUUUGUCCGGGAAGAUAAUGACUGUACCGGAAGAAUAAGCCCCGGCUAACUUCGUG